RNAcentral lists this ribosomal RNA (496 nucleotides) under uncultured bacterium. Its description in RNAcentral is "partial 16S ribosomal RNA". It matches the Rfam family "Bacterial small subunit ribosomal RNA", at positions 28 to 506 of the family's 1533-position model. The record is from RNAcentral.
GAUGAACGCUGGCGGCGUGCCUAAUACAUGCAAGUCGAGCGAACGGACGAGAAGCUUGCUUCUCUGAUGUUAGCGGCGGACGGGUGAGUAACACGUGGAUAACCUACCUAUAAGACUGGGAUAACUUCGGGAAACCGGAGCUAAUACCGGAUGAUAUUUUGAACCGCAUGGUUCAAAAGUGAAAGACGGUCUUGCUGUCACUUAUAGAUGGAUCCGCGCUGCAUUAGCUAGUUGGUAAGGUAACGGCUUACCAAGGCAACGAUGCAUAGCCGACCUGAGAGGGUGAUCGGCCACACUGGAACUGAGACACGGUCCAGACUCCUACGGGGGGCAGCAGUAGGGAAUCUUCCGCAAUGGGCGAAAGCCUGACGGAGCAACGCCGCGUGAGUGAUGAAGGUCUUCGGAUCGUAAAACUCUGUUAUUAGGGAAGAACACAUGUGUAAGUAACUGUGCACAUCUUGACGGUACCUAAUCAGAAAGCCACGGCUAACUACGU